AUUGAUUUUUACCGAUAUCGAUUCGUUUGCUUUUGUGAAGUUUAAAUGUGUAUUGAUGCCAUAUUGUAAAUUGGUGCGGUCAAAGUCGGAACAUACUAAAACCAGUUCUUGGACUUAAGAGAAAAGAUCUUACUUAGAUCCCCAAAAAUACGUUCAGCAUUGAUUAUAUUCAAAUUUUGCUUUUGGCAUUAAUAAAUUGUUUAAAAUAAAGAAUUGUGUACUUACUUAUCUUGUCAUAUUGAGGUGUAUUGUACUAUAAGAACAUACCAGUUUCAACAAUAUUGUUUAUUUAAAUUCUUAAGUCUAAGAAUUGGUUGAUGAAUACGUGCCUUGAUAUAUUAUAUAAAUCUUGUGUGGAGACUUAAAGAGUGUGUGACCGAAGUAAGCUCAAAAUGAAGUUGACAUUCAAAUUUAUGGCGCAUUUGAAUAUUAAAUGGUCUUUGAAAGUACAAGUGUGUACAUUUCAUUUACGUGUUCAACCUAUAUAAAUUACCAGUUAUUACCAGAAAUGAAAACGCCGUAACGGAUAAUAAAAACAUGCGGAUAUCAGCGAAAAGUUAUGAGGAGGAACUUAAAAUCGAAAUAAAAAUUUGCUGCUUCCUCUGGAAAUCCAAAUUCUGAUGACCGUUCAAGGAGUGUCGUUCAAGAAAACAAUGGAAUUUUGUCCCAUCUAGUGGUUUCUAUAAGAGAAGAGUUGCCAGAGCCAAAUUUGGUUGCGCCUUUGUUAGACGGGAUGGAAUAUGAUUCAGGAUAUGAAUCGUAGACACACAUAGAGACACAGGUGCGGAUUUGUAGAAAAAUGCUCACUGGACCAAUAAAAGACGCCGAUAAGCUUUGACAUGUAUCGUCAUCUUAUUUAUAUCAGAAAGCAAGAUUUGUAUAACUUAAAGUUGAUAUUCAAUUGUCGAAUGUUUAACCAUAGAACAUUUUAUGUAAGAAUGUUUCUGUUUCUCAUAUUAUGUUUUUAAAUGCAUUUCAAAGGUAGGAAAUUAUUCAAAGUUUAACUUUUCACAGACAUAUGAUAUUAUUUUAUAAAAAUGAUUAUCAGGUAGUUUUAUUCCUCCAAUCGUCUGAACAUAGACACGUUGUAUCGCGUGUAAAUUGGGAAACCACACACCAAAAACUAAACAUCAGAUGUGCUGAUAGAUUAUUUUAUUCGCGGAUGUACCGUUCCUUUUUGCAGAGAUUCAUGUGAAUUUAACACAGUGCCUUUAACAUUGUCAUGAGUGCUUACAAUGUUUGUUUUUGUUCAAUAAAAUGCACAUUUGUGCGUUGUUAAAUGAAAACAAUUUAGAAACAUUCACAAUAUUUUAAUAUUAAUAGUUGUUAUACUUUGGGAUUAAAUAUAUAUAUGACUUUUACAUUUUACCACGUUGUGUUCAACGCAUUGUGUUCAAUUGUAUUAUCAUGUAUUUUGUCUUAACCAUUUAUUUUUGAAAUUACGUUUUAUUCGUAUUGUAUUAUGUCCCAUCAAAUAUACGUCAAUUCGAAACAUUCGGACUAUUACAAUGUGUUGUUUACAAUUUGAAUUGUUAAUUGCUCAUGUUCUUAUCACAUGUUAUUACCAAUCAAAGGAAAAUUGGUUUUAUGUUAAGGUCAGAAUCCCAGGGUACUUAUGUUUUGCUAGUACGCCAUGGGAAUAAAAAUAUAUUGUACAUUACAAAUAUGCAAUUUCUGUUUUAUUUCGUUUUCAUUUGGUUAAAACAAAUUAUACAUGUUUAGUUCUGAUUUAUGCUCUUCUAUUUGUGCAUGGUUUUACAUGAUAAAGAAUUAAAACAAUUUUUCGUGUGAAUACAUUGUUUGGUGACGUUAAAAUAGCUGAAAACAUUUAAUAUGCAUAUUAUCUAUUGUAAUUUGAAGAAACUAAAUAUGCCCAUUUGAUGCAAAUAUAAAUGCAAUGACAA
This is a long non-coding RNA of Dreissena polymorpha, 1904 nucleotides long. RefSeq lists it as uncharacterized. NCBI's taxonomy places the organism in Eukaryota, Metazoa, Mollusca, Bivalvia, Myida, Dreissenidae. The record is from RefSeq and is a predicted model, not a curated record. The transcript is spliced from 5 exons.